GACGAACGCUGGCGGCGUGCUUAACACAUGCAAGUCGAACGGUAAGGCCCUUCGGGGUACACGAGUGGCGAACGGGUGAGUAACACGUGGGUGAUCUGCCCUGCACUUUGGGAUAAGCCUGGGAAACUGGGUCUAAUACCGAAUAUGACCAUGGACUUCACGGUUUGUGGUGGAAAGCUUUUGCGGUGUGGGAUGGGCCCGCGGCCUAUCAGCUUGUUGGUGGGGUAAUGGCCUACCAAGGCGACGACGGGUAGCCGGCCUGAGAGGGUGACCGGCCACACUGGGACUGAGAUACGGCCCAGACUCCUACGGGAGGCAGCAGUGGGAAUAUUGCACAAUGGGCGCAAGCCUGAUGCAGCGACGCCGCGUGGGGGAUGACGGCCUCGGUUGUAACCGUACUUUCUACCAGGACGAAGCGAGAGUGACGGUACCUCGGAGAAGAAGACGGCCAACUACGUAGCCAGC
RNAcentral lists this ribosomal RNA (465 nucleotides) under uncultured bacterium. RNAcentral describes it as "bacterial SSU rRNA". It matches the Rfam family "Bacterial small subunit ribosomal RNA", at positions 28 to 512 of the family's 1533-position model. The record is from RNAcentral.